GAUGGGGAUCGAGAAUGGGAUCGGGACCGGGAACGGGAUCGGGAACGGGACCGGGACCGGGAACGAGAUCGGGAACGGGAUCCGGGCUUGGAUCGGGACUGGCCCUGGGCCCAUCGCGCUCCCCCGCCCGCAGUCCCGGGCCUGUCCCGGGGCAGCGCCCGCCCGGCGCUAUCUCGGGCCGCAGCCGCGGGAGCCGCCCCGGCCCCGCCGCACGCCCGGCCCGGGAGCGGAGCGGAGCACAGGGAGCCGAGCCGGGCCGAGCCGGGCCGGGCCGGGACCGGCCGCUCCCCGGGCAGCAUCCCGGCAGGGCCGGGCACGCCGCGCCCGGGUUUAUCCACUGCGAGGCGCCAGGCUCUCCUUCCCCUGUGUCCUGUAAGGUGGAACAGAGAAAUGCUGGAAUUGUUCACCUCUUCACUGCCAGCUCCCAGCUUCUGUGACAACCCCAGGAAGUGGAAAAGGAGGAUAGAUUUUAAAAACACAGACAAGACUUCUUCCACUUCAAGGCUGAAAACUGACAGAAGCAAUGUCCCGACUUACAGAAAAGUGAGGCUCAGAGAAGGAUGAUAUCAGCUAAAAAUCAUAAAAACAGAAUCCAGAGCAUAAGUAUUUAAUUGAAUCUUUGUGCUUCUGUAGACUAGAAAUGAUUGCAGAAGAAACAGAAAUCCAUAGCACAGGACUUCUCCUCCCAUCAAUAUUUUACAAGAUUGAGCCCCAUCAGUACAAUGACAUUUCUGCAAGUACCAAGAACAAAAACUCCUCCUCCUGCUGCUCCUCCUGCUGCCGCGGGUCCCUCCUGCCCCGGGGCUCGGUGAUUUCCAGCGGCCCCACUGCAGCCCGGGAGCUGCGCUGCCGGCAGGGCGGUGCAGGGCAGGGGACGGUGCUGUGCAGGGCUCUUGUCACCCCCGCCGGGCUCGGUUCCACAUUUCAAGGCUCUUCCCGAACGUGCCUUCGACGCCUCCCGCUGGCAGCACGGUGGUUUGGGAGAUUCCCAGUCCAGUCCGGGCACACUCAGCCUUCCUGCCACAUUCAAAAGCAAUGGAAUUGUCAGGUGGGGUGAAUCCGAAGUGGGGGAAGCAGGACCACCGAGGCGAGGCCGCUCCAGGGAAAGCAAAGGCCUGAACAGGUUCUGCCACCGAAGGGCUGGGAGGUGUGACAGGGAACAGAAUCCACGGGGACACGGAAGACAGGCCACCACAGCCCAGCACAGACCACAAAGGAAAGCAUUCAGACCUUUGGAAAUAGGAUGUGGUGCUCUCCAAAAGGACAAGACCAUAUUCCACAAGGAAUCAGUGAUCCACCCUGCUCGGGGGGCACAAGCCACACUCACACCUGGCUGAGCCCCCCCAGGCACAGGGGUGGUUUUGGGGACACAACCUGACCCAGAGCUCGGCACGGGAACAGGGAACUCCCCCUCCGGAUGAACACAACAGAAAUAAAACCUGUGGAUGAAAACUCUGCUUCACACCAGAAAGGUUUGCAGGAGGCAGAAGCACUCUGCAGAGUUCAGUGAUAAGCACCAGGCUGGCAGCAGAGGAAAAUAUGAAUAGGUAAUGUGUUUACCAAGAAUCUCUGUCAGUCCCGUUGUGCACCGCUGCAGGUCUACGUCCCCUCCUUCACAUUCGGGUUUCCCUCGCGGAUCUGAUGGGCACAACACACACACAGCUGGAAAGUGCAACAUGCCUUUGGUUUCCUCAGCUCUGGAAGCACUUCUGGGACGGCUGGAGCCACAGAGGACCUGGGGAUGUUACUGGAACAGGUGAACACCCCAUCACAGCUGGAAAAGGCCAUGAGCUAAAGCUGGGCUCCUUCUGGCAGCUCUGUGAAUUUUACAGUUCCGUGAUGUGGAGAAACCGGGAGGAAUCCCCCGUCAGGCAAAGCUUCACCAGGGAACUGAAACCCCUCAGAUUCAGACUGACAUGGCAAGGAACAAGGGAGAAAUGGCUGCAAACCAAGGGGCAGCUGCACACAAGCUGCCCCUCCCUUCCAGAGUCCAUCCAUCCAUCUCUCCAUCAGCUGCCCAGGGGACACGGCUGCACCAAGCAGAUGUAAAGGUAAUGGUCUGUACAUUUUAUUUCAAUAAAGACAUAAGACAAACAGCGUAAAGAUGCCCAGAUGCCCUAAAGAUAAAUACAUUUAAAAGAUUCUCAUUAAAA
Haemorhous mexicanus (house finch) is the source of this 2153-nucleotide long non-coding RNA. RefSeq lists it as uncharacterized. The transcript is spliced from 2 exons. The record is from RefSeq and is a predicted model, not a curated record. NCBI's taxonomy places the organism in Eukaryota, Metazoa, Chordata, Aves, Passeriformes, Fringillidae.